CUAGUACUUUAUAGGCUUGAGUUUCAUUGAACCAUACCAAUGAAUAACCACUUUGACAACAUCCAAACACGACAUGAGAGAGUUUUGCAAAUUUUAGCAGACAAAAAUUUCAUUGAGUGGAAUAGCCAAUACCUAGUAGAACAACCACCAAACCUGUCUAGAUAAAAGGAUUCAUGCAGUUGGUUCAUGCCAAAAAUAGAAAAGCUUGAGCACUAUGCUUGCUUGAAAUGUCACCAACCUUUUGACGCAGAGGUAAACAUUUGUGAGUGCGUUUUACGC
RNAcentral lists this long non-coding RNA (279 nucleotides) under Carica papaya (papaya). RNAcentral's name for it is "long non-coding RNA (CPAP_LNC002140)". Lineage: Eukaryota; Viridiplantae; Streptophyta; Magnoliopsida; Brassicales; Caricaceae. The record is from RNAcentral.